UAAGGAAUAUUGGUCAAUGGGCGGAAGCCUGAACCAGCCAUGCCGCGUGCGGGAAGAAGGCCCUCUGGGUUGUAAACCGCUUUUGUCAGGGAAGAAUGGAGGGGAUUUAUCCUCUUAGGGACGGUACCUGAAGAAUAAGCACCGGCUAACUCCGUGCCAGCAGCCGCGGUAAUACGGAGGGUGCAAGCGUUAUCCGGAAUCACUGGGUUUAAAGGGUACGUAGGCGGUCUAAUAAGUCAGGUGUGAAAUACCGCGGCCUAACUGCGGAACUGCACUUGAUACUGCUAGACUUGAGUAGGGUGGAGGUACACGGAAUGCAUCAUGUAGCGGUGAAAUGCUUAGAUAUGAUGUAGAACACCGAUAGCGAAGGCAGUGUGCCACACCUAUACUGACGCUGAGG
This 400-nucleotide ribosomal RNA is filed under the name uncultured bacterium. RNAcentral's name for it is "bacterial SSU rRNA". It matches the Rfam family "Bacterial small subunit ribosomal RNA", at positions 355 to 751 of the family's 1533-position model. The record is from RNAcentral.